UUUAAAUGGUAUUUUAUUUCAUAACAAGUUUGUGAUAUAAUUAAUCUAUUUGUGCAUAUUUCCAUGGUUUAUGUGUAAAUUAUUCUUGACCAGACUUGACCUGGAAUAGCUGAUGGAUUGAUAAAAUAAAUCAUAAAACCAAUCCGAUCCAACCGAAUGAAAUGGAUUUAGUUAGGCUUGGAUUCAAUUUCUUAACCUGAUUGAAAUAUGGAUCGGAUUUGGGUUGAAAUAAUCCCCAAUCAACCUGAUCCACUUGCACCCUGCCCUGGACUUAAAAGACUAAACUACAUGACAUUAAGUGAAUUAGAAUUCCUAAACCUCACUACCAGAAAGAAAUAUCUUCCCCAAUGAAAGGAACAGUGCAGUAGCUUUCAUGCAUUUGUCUACUCGAUUCUAUCAUCGACUGUGUUUAUCAAACAUCAUCCAUAAUAAUCAUAGGAAAGCAUACUCCAUAAGCAAUCCUUGGGAAGGUCCACAAUCAUGUUGCAUCAAGACACGUGGAAACUUUCUUGAGAGGAUUCUUAUAAGCAUGUCGCACAAAAGAUAAGAACAUUGAGAUGAAUCUUCUCUAAUGAUUCCUCGACCAGGCCCCCUUCAUUGCAAUCUUCACUUAAGUUUUAAUUAUCUAAAAUAUUAUGAUCAAUAUUAUCAUGAAUCAAGGGCAUCUAAAUAUUGUACCAUUCAUCAUUCUAUCCUCAUGAGAAUUAUCUCCCAUAAAUAGGCUGCUCCUGAAGUGUUCAUGAGUUUGUUUUUUAAAUAUAUAUCUUAUAUACAAACCCCAAUUUAAGAAUUGGAAAAGGAUGUCUUUACCUUCUAACUAACUCAGCACUGGGAACAUCAUAGCUUCCAU
RNAcentral lists this long non-coding RNA (850 nucleotides) under Phoenix dactylifera (date palm). Its description in RNAcentral is "long non-coding RNA (PDAC_LNC017253)". The record is from RNAcentral. Lineage: Eukaryota; Viridiplantae; Streptophyta; Magnoliopsida; Arecales; Arecaceae.